Molecule: ribosomal RNA, 253 nt
Filed under: uncultured bacterium
Lineage: Bacteria
Description: partial 16S ribosomal RNA
Rfam family: Bacterial small subunit ribosomal RNA
Source: RNAcentral
UACGAGGGGGGCAAGCGUUGUUCGGAAUUAUUGGGCGUAAAGAGCUCGUAGGCGGUCUGUCGCGUCUGCUGUGAAAACUCGGGGCUUAACCCCGGGCCUGCAGUGGGUACGGGCAGACUAGAGUGCGGUAGGGGAGACUGGAAUUCCUGGUGUAGCGGUGAAAUGCGCAGAUAUCAGGAGGAACACCGGUGGCGAAGGCGGGUCUCUGGGCCGUAACUGACGCUGAGGCGCGAAAGCGUGGGGAGCAAACAGG